UACAUAACAUAAUUUGCCAUUUUUUCCAUUUUUUUCCAGACAGAAGUAACUUCUAAAACAUUGCUAGGGAAACGCUCUGACAUCUUCCGUAGAGGUGAAAAAGCACAGGUCUGACUCAGGUAGCUGCGAGUUCAAGUUCAGCCGCAGGCUCUUCCCCAAGGUGCUGGUCUUCGCAGGAACCCCUUGCAGGCAGCUGCAAAGAGCAGCACGGCGCGCACACACAGGGUCCGGCUGGCGUCUGGCCAGAGCAAGGGAACAGUAAGUGUGUCCUGGAGGCGCUCGCCAUGCACUCACACGCCAUCUGUGGAUUCGGAAGUGACCUCCCCCUCGGUUGAUGAGGGUUCUCUGCGUCUGGAGAACACAGGACGUCCACAGGAAAGUUCUCCCUCCUGCACUCCCGGCUGGCUCUGAAAAUUAUGAAGGCAGAGACGUCCGUGCCUGAUACUGUCCUGGCAGCCACGUGCCCUCAUACACUUGCCCAGACCCUGAAUGUGCUACACGGAGUGACCCCAAUUACACCGUGGGCCCCGGGUGACUGCGACAUCUCUCUUUUCCUUAAAAUAAAGGCUCUAAAAUUGUGUGAUUCCACCUCCCUGAGGCUAAGCGAAAGAGCCGCGUCUGCCCCUGUCCUUCCCGGGGGCUGGCAGGGAGUGGGUGCCCGGCGGUGACUCAGCCCUGCAGCCUCCCAGCCCUUCCCCGUAUGCGGGCAGGUGAUGCGGACGCCUCCGACCCUCGUGGGGUUUGUGGAGAGCGUUGAUCAGCGCUGCCGUCAGAACAGGACCUGUGCGAGGCCUCGCAGAUGCCGGGAGCCGGGCGGUGCUCUCGGUGCUUCUCAUCAAAUCCACUGGCUCUUCGAGAGGAAGCACAUGUCACAGCCCAGCUCAAACAAGAAGCAAGAAAAUCACUCUUCAUUUUGGAAUUGUAAAAUAAAGUAGAAAUUAUCCUCAGG
This 949-nucleotide long non-coding RNA is filed under the name Homo sapiens (human). RNAcentral's name for it is "non-protein coding lnc-EGFL7-1:5". The record is from RNAcentral. Lineage: Eukaryota; Metazoa; Chordata; Mammalia; Primates; Hominidae.